This 87-nucleotide transfer RNA is filed under the name Betaproteobacteria bacterium. Its description in RNAcentral is "tRNA-Leu". It matches the Rfam family "tRNA". Rfam says of the family: Transfer RNA (tRNA) molecules are approximately 80 nucleotides in length. Their secondary structure includes four short double-helical elements and three loops (D, anti-codon, and T loops). Lineage: Bacteria; Pseudomonadati; Pseudomonadota; Betaproteobacteria. The record is from RNAcentral.
GCCGGGAUGGCGGAAUCGGCAGACGCACGGGACUCAAAAUCCCGCGGUAGCAAUACCGUGAGGGUUCGACCCCCUCUCCCGGCACCA